RNAcentral lists this unclassified non-coding RNA (307 nucleotides) under Zea mays. Its description in RNAcentral is "misc RNA Zm00001eb025200". The record is from RNAcentral. Lineage: Eukaryota; Viridiplantae; Streptophyta; Magnoliopsida; Poales; Poaceae.
GGCUUCUUUUCAUUUACCAGGGCACUGUUCUUGUUAUGGAUCAGAUGGGAUACAAUGCUGAUCGCACACCAUUCACGAACAUCUCAAACACCAUCAUUACAGGUAAUCAAAAUGAAUCGAACUCGCUUGGACCAAUUGUUGAUGCUAGGGAACGUAAGAGGCAAAGGGAUAGGGAAAGAUAUGCCACGAUGACUGUUGAACAAAAGAAUGAGAAAAAUAGGAAGCGUCGUGAAGCGCGCCAAAGGAAUAAAGGACUACCGAUAAAAACACAAUCAUCCAUAGAUAGCUUUCCAGAUGACUGUAGCAC